UUAAAUUUAGUGGCGCACGGGUGAGUAACGCGUAGAUAAUCUGCCUGAUGAUCUGGGAUAACACUCCGAAAGAGGUGCUAAUACCGGAUAAGCCCACGGAGUCUUUGGACUCUGCGGGAAAAGGGGGGGACCUUCGGGCCUUCUGUCAUCAGAUGAGUCUGCGUACCAUUAGCUAGUUGGUAGGGUAAUGGCCUACCAAGGCUACGAUGGUUAGCUGGUCUGAGAGGAUGAUCAGCCACACUGGAACCGAGACACGGUCCAGACUCCUACGGGAGGCAGCAGUGGGGAAUUUUGCGCAAUGGGCGAAAGCCUGACGCAGCAACGCCGCGUGAGUGAUGAAGGCUUUCGGGUCGUAAAGCUCUGUCGAGGGGAAAGAAAUGUAUUGUGGCUAAUACCCGCGAUACUUGACGGUACCCCUAAAGGAAGCACCGGCUAACUCCGUGCCAGCAGCCGCGGUAAUACGGGGGGUGCAAGCGUUGUUCGGAAUUGUUGGGCGUAAAGCGCGUGUAGGCGGUCUGAUUAGUCUGAUGUGAAAGCCCUGGGCUCAACCCAGGAAGUGCAUUGGAUACUGUCAGACUUGAAUACGGGAGAGGGUAGUGGAAUUCCUAGUGUAGGAGUGAAAUCCGUAGAUAUUAGGAGGAACACCGGUGGCGAAGGCGGCUACCUGGACCGAUAU
RNAcentral lists this ribosomal RNA (676 nucleotides) under uncultured bacterium. RNAcentral describes it as "bacterial SSU rRNA". It matches the Rfam family "Bacterial small subunit ribosomal RNA", at positions 86 to 740 of the family's 1533-position model. The record is from RNAcentral.